RNAcentral lists this ribosomal RNA (465 nucleotides) under uncultured bacterium. RNAcentral's name for it is "partial 16S ribosomal RNA". It matches the Rfam family "Bacterial small subunit ribosomal RNA", at positions 28 to 507 of the family's 1533-position model. The record is from RNAcentral.
GACGAACGCUGGCGGCGUGCUUAACACAUGCAAGUCGAACGGAAAGGCCCCAGCUUGCUGGGGUACUCGAGUGGCGAACGGGUGAGUAACACGUGGGUGAUCUGCCCUGCACUCUGGGAUAAGCCUGGGAAACUGGGUCUAAUACCGGAUAGGACCGUGCUUUAGUGUGUGCGGUGGAAAGUUUUUCGGUGCAGGAUGAGCCCGCGGCCUAUCAGCUUGUUGGUGGGGUAAUGGCCUACCAAGGCGGCGACGGGUAGCCGGCCUGAGAGGGUGUACGGCCACAUUGGGACUGAGACACGGCCCAGACUCCUACGGGAGGCAGCAGUGGGGAAUAUUGCACAAUGGGCGCGAGCCUGAUGCAGCGACGCCGCGUGGGGGAUGACGGCCUUCGGGUUGUAAACCCCUUUCGGCAGGGACGAAGCUUUUGUGACGGUACCUGCAUAAGAGGCACCGGCUAACUACGUG